UACCCUCAAGUCUUCCAAGAUGAGAAACUGCAUAGAGGCUGCCCUGGAUGAGCUACUGCGUUACCUAUGAAUUUGCUGAGCACCAACAGCUGUGGCGUAGAAGCAGUCAUGACUUGCCAUCAAUAAAGCCCUCCAGAAGGUGCCUCUGUUCGUGUCCCUGGCUGGAACCUCUGGUCAUGUGGAAGCAGGAUAGGAAAAGCAGGCCUGUCCCAGUGAGCAGUUCCAUCUUGCCAUGUCCCUGCUUGCCAGUCACAGGAGGAAGUGGCAGUUGCCUCAAAGGUCCCUUCUAGGUUCCAAACAAGACUUUCCUUACACAGCCCACCCAGAGCCUUGGGUCUGCCCACAGCCGGUUGCCUCCAGCUCUCUAGGUUUUGGGGUGACCCUCGAGGCCUCUUUUCAAGGGUAGCUGUGCUCUGCCAAAUUCUUCAGAAAGGACAAUACAAGGGGUCUGUGGUGGGGUCUCCUUUUGGGAUGUCUUAGGAGACCCCAUAAUUGCAUGCCCAUGAAGGAGAGGGCCUGUCCUGCCCUUUCUCUCUAUCUGAACCAUCAGGUCUGUGCUGCAAAGUCUGGUGAUGUCACUCUUCGGGUGUUCCUUAUUUAUUCUGGUGACUACCCUGGGACUGGGAGUAAUUAUAGCAUUCUGUGGAGAGGUGGCCCUCUCGGCACCUUCUAGCCAUCCUCCCCAGAACUGCCUUUGAUCGAGCUCUUUGUGGGAAAGCAGCCAUUAAGAGAUGUCUAUCUUUGGUUUCAUCUGCACGGGAGAAAGGAGAACUAAAUUGGCAGUGGAGGCUUCCGUGUUCUCAGAGUGGCCUCCUCCCAAAGCGUGCUGAGCUCUCAGGGACACAGCCCUGUCCCCGCUGCCACAGAGCCACCUGGAGGCCUUCGUCUGCAGUCGGCAGUGGUACUCCAGGCGGAAGGCACCCAAGUGAGGUGCCAUCUGCAUGGUGCACGUCCCCUGAGAUACUCUGCUAAAGUCUUCCGGGAACUCUGGGGAGGUCUCUGAAGUGCUCAUACUUAUUUAAUGAAUUAUUAUUUCAUGAUUAUUUAUUUUUCCUGUUAUAAAAUAAAAGCAUAUU
This 1076-nucleotide long non-coding RNA is filed under the name Heterocephalus glaber (naked mole-rat). RNAcentral describes it as "lncRNA (ENSHGLG00100033490.1)". The record is from RNAcentral. Lineage: Eukaryota; Metazoa; Chordata; Mammalia; Rodentia; Bathyergidae.